UGCGAUCAAAUCCCGUUGAAAACAGCGGUUCUCGGUUGAUCACCGAAGUUAAGCAGUGUUGAACCUGAUCAGUACUUAGAUGAGAAACCGCUUAGGAAAAACGGUG
Non-coding RNA from Acanthosepion pharaonis, 106 nucleotides. The record is from the annotation of a GenBank genome assembly. NCBI's taxonomy places the organism in Eukaryota, Metazoa, Mollusca, Cephalopoda, Sepiida, Sepiidae.